ACGAGCUACAACGUGAGUAUUCGGAAGCAGCGCUAAGAGAUGUUGAUUAUGAUGAUGCAGAGCUGGAUGGCCAGGAGUAGAUUUAGUAUAUGGACUUAGAGAUGAAUAAGUGUCUUUUACACAAGGAUUAAGUUUCCUUUAUGUCUUUUCAAUAACUAGUUUUGUUUAAGACUAGCUCACUUUUGCUUUAUUCAGUUUCAGUUUUCAAGACUAUUUAUUUCCUUUCUUUUAAGUCUAUUCCAAUAAAUGAGGUAUUUCAGAGUAA
Molecule: long non-coding RNA, 265 nt
Organism: Carya illinoinensis
Lineage: Eukaryota; Viridiplantae; Streptophyta; Magnoliopsida; Fagales; Juglandaceae
Exons: 2
Source: RefSeq, a predicted model, not a curated record